CAGAACAUCGACGGCCUCCUGCAGAUGUCCAGUGGAUGUGGAGAGCAGAACAUGGUGCGUUUCACCCCCAAUGCCUUCAUCACACAGUACCUGGAGGAGACAGGACAGCUGACCCAAGAGAUCAAACAGAAAGCUGUUGGCUUCCUGGAAAGUGGGUGCAGUGGAGGAAGGACUUGGGCUGAGCACUGCCAUUACCACAACCCUCAUUCGCUCGGGGGUGCAGCAGUCGGACCCAGUCUUGCAGAAAGCUCUGAAGUGCCUAAAGGAACUAGUCAGUGCUGAUCCUGGCAGUUCCAGCCUCUACA
Malaclemys terrapin pileata is the source of this 305-nucleotide long non-coding RNA. RefSeq lists it as uncharacterized. The transcript is spliced from 3 exons. NCBI's taxonomy places the organism in Eukaryota, Metazoa, Chordata, Testudines, Emydidae. The record is from RefSeq and is a predicted model, not a curated record.